RNAcentral lists this ribosomal RNA (556 nucleotides) under Salmonella enterica subsp. enterica serovar Enteritidis. Its description in RNAcentral is "partial 23S ribosomal RNA". It matches the Rfam family "Bacterial large subunit ribosomal RNA", at positions 689 to 1243 of the family's 2925-position model. Lineage: Bacteria; Pseudomonadati; Pseudomonadota; Gammaproteobacteria; Enterobacterales; Enterobacteriaceae. The record is from RNAcentral.
CGGGCGUUAAGUUGCAGGGUAUAGACCCGAAACCCGGUGAUCUAGCCAUGGGCAGGUUGAAGGUUGGGUAACACUAACUGGAGGACCGAACCGACUAAUGUUGAAAAAUUAGCGGAUGACCUGUGGCUGGGGGUGAAAGGCCAAUCAAACCGGGAGAUAGCUGGUUCUCCCCGAAAGCUAUUUAGGUAGCGCCUCGUGAAUUCAUCUCCGGGGGUAGAGCACUGUUUCGGCUAGGGGGCCAUCCCGGCUUACCAACCCGAUGCAAACUGCGAAUACCGGAGAAUGUUAUCACGGGAGACACACGGCGGGUGCUAACGUCCGUCGUGAAGAGGGAAACAACCCAGACCGCCAGCUAAGGUCCCAAAGUCAUGGUUAAGUGGGAAACGAUGUGGGAAGGCCCAGACAGCCAGGAUGUUGGCUUAGAAGCAGCCAUCAUUUAAAGAAAGCGUAAUAGCUCACUGGUCGAGUCGGCCUGCGCGGAAGAUGUAACGGGGCUAAACCAUGCACCGAAGCUGCGGCAGCGACACUGUGUGUUGUUGGGUAGGGGAGCGUUCUG